UAAAAAUUCUGCCUGAAUACCACAGUAUAGCUCCACCUUCAGCUUAAAACAUAGAAUUUGACUCAUUUUGAAUAAAUUUUAGCCAAUGGCUAAAGAGUAAGAUACUACGUAAUCCAGUAGAGUACUACGUAGCAGCUCUGUGUCAACGUUAUAAAAGCAUCGGGAGUCUCGGCCACGCCUUGUGGCGAGUUGGGAGUUGGAUUUGCAUGAGAGUGUAGGAGGCUAGCCGUAGUUCAGCAUUAGCAUAUAGCAUUAGCAUAUCCUAGUCUUUAGCAUAGCUUUUAGUGUUAUACAUACUUAUUUAGUGUUAGCUUGGCUGUUGGAUAUUGUAGUUUAGUUACUGUUUGGCUGUUAGUGUAAUUAGGAAAGUAGUUCGGGUUUAGUGCUCCAUAUCGUGUUAGCAUGGUGAGAUGGUGUAGUGUAGUAUGGUUGCGGAGCUCUGUCGGGUUGCACUCCUUUCCGCUGGACUUAGAAAUUAGGCGCCAGUGGUUGCGUGUCUGGAAAAGAUUCAGCUCCCGCCUGGUGCUGUAGUUUGCAACCAGCAUUUUACCCGCGAUUCUGCACGUCUCCGUUCCAAGAGGGAGGCUGUGCCCACCGUGGCUCUUCCGCGAUUUAGAUACAGACCACCGACUCUGCUCCCCCACCAUGACGGGCUACAGUCUGAGGUGAGUAAGCUAAAUAAAAGUUUUAACAUCUUCUAAAGACAAUUUCCUACCUAAAUGCAAAGUUUGAGAGACGUGGUUCACUCCAUUUAGCUAAUAUCAGUCUGCACUGCCUUCGGGCUGAUUUGUCAAGUUCACAAAAUGUGGAACGGGAUGUAAGGUUAGAAUCAGCGGCGAAUCGGAACAUAUCUCGAAGCCCUGGCCGACAAAACGGUCCACAUGACUGUCAGGCUCAGAGAAAAUUCGGGUUGUUUUUGUGUCAGUCGGUAAUUCAGCAACAGUGACUCUAAACUGACGCAGCACUAGUUGACAGACAGCAUUACAGCGUGAAAUCUAGCACAGCGUGACCCGGUUCCGUGAGGAAUUCUGUUCAGGAGGUCGCAUUUCAGGGUCUCCACAUCAUAUGUGACUGACUUUUACUUUAUAAUAACAUCACACACUAGGAAUGUUAUAAAGCGCCUAUAUGGGACAGUUUCUUUUGUAUUUUAUCUGACUUUAUAAACAUCAAUGUGCUUCUAUUUUUUUUCAGGCUAAAUCUACCCAAGACACUGGCUGUCAGACUGAUUUAGUAAUCUGCAAGAAUGCACUUGUCCAGGCUGACGUGAAGCCUUGCCCGUAGCAAAGAGCUCACAGCCUCAGUGUCUUGUGACACAGGGACCAUGACAGAAAUUCAUCUUCCAGAAGGUCCCAGAGCAUCCACACCCCCUGAAAAGACCACGGUGUGAGGUGUCUGCUGUUGAUUCCAGCUUCCACCUCAGUGACAGUGCAAGCUCAGUGAACAGUUCAAGGUAAAAAAAAAUUAAAACAUUUCUGAAUUUUUAAGAUAUUAACAAUUAAAUAAGUAUGUGAUUACAUCAUGAAGGAGGCUACUGAUUCUGGCCCUGUGACACUUGGUGGUCACCACCAGGUGGUGACGUGUGAGCUGAUUCACCUGGACACUCAGCAAAAUAUGGACUCUACACCAUGAGGCAGGCACACGUUAAUAACUCUAUAAGAGUACAUAAGGUAAGCAACACCACAUAUUAUUUUUAUUACUGUACACUGUCCUGGAUUUGUUUUCUUUCUGCAUGAUUUGUUUUCUUUCUGCAUCUCAUCAUUAGCCUGGCUGAUCACCUGAUAACUCAUGUUAUCUGGUUAUGACAGCAUGAGGAUGUCCUCACACACCUGUAACCUACCAGCUCAUCUGGCAGAAUAGAGAGAGAAGAGACAACACCACAUCUCCUGUUCCUGGAAAGCCUUCAGCCAUCCUUCGAUGACUGAGAACCUCCAUCAGCUCUGUCUCCUGUCUGCCUACAAUUAUUAUAAUAAAUAUUGUGUUUGACAAGUU
This is a non-coding RNA of Nothobranchius furzeri (turquoise killifish), 1989 nucleotides long. NCBI's taxonomy places the organism in Eukaryota, Metazoa, Chordata, Actinopteri, Cyprinodontiformes, Nothobranchiidae. The record is from RefSeq and is a predicted model, not a curated record.